UAGGGAAUCUUCGGCAAUGGGGGGAACCCUGACCGAGCAACGCCGCGUGAGUGAAGAUGGUUUUCGGAUCGUAAAGCUCUGUUGUUAAGGAAGAACGAGUGUGAGAAUGGAAAGUUCAUGCUGUGACGGUACUUAACCAGAAAGGGACGGCUAACUACGUGCCAGCAGCCGCGGUAAUACGUAGGUCCCGAGCGUUGUCCGGAUUUAUUGGGCGUAAAGCGAGCGCAGGCGGUUAGAAAAGUCUGAAGUGAAAGGCAGUGGCUCAACCAUUGUAGGCUUUGGAAACUGUUUAACUUGAGUGCAGAAGGGGAGAGUGGAAUUCCAUGUGUAGCGGUGAAAUGCGUAGAUAUAUGGAGGAACACCGGUGGCGAAAGCGGCUCUCUGGUCUGUAACUGACGCUGAGGCUCGAAAGCGUGGGGAGCGAACAGG
RNAcentral lists this ribosomal RNA (429 nucleotides) under Verrucomicrobiota bacterium. RNAcentral describes it as "Verrucomicrobia bacterium partial 16S ribosomal RNA". It matches the Rfam family "Bacterial small subunit ribosomal RNA", at positions 355 to 776 of the family's 1533-position model. The record is from RNAcentral. Lineage: Bacteria; Pseudomonadati; Verrucomicrobiota.